Molecule: ribosomal RNA, 465 nt
Filed under: Vreelandella stevensii
Lineage: Bacteria; Pseudomonadati; Pseudomonadota; Gammaproteobacteria; Oceanospirillales; Halomonadaceae
Description: partial 16S ribosomal RNA
Rfam family: Bacterial small subunit ribosomal RNA
Source: RNAcentral
CCUACGGGGGGCAGCAGUGGGGAAUAUUGGACAAUGGGGGGAACCCUGAUCCAGCCAUGCCGCGUGUGUGAAGAAGGCCCUCGGGUUGUAAAGCACUUUCAGUGAGGAAGAACGCCUGGUGGUUAAUACCCAUCAGGAAAGACAUCACUCACAGAAGAAGCACCGGCUAACUCCGUGCCAGCAGCCGCGGUAAUACGGAGGGUGCGAGCGUUAAUCGGAAUUACAGGGCGUAAAGCGCGCGUAGGUGGCUUGAUAAGCCGGUUGUGAAAGCCCCGGGCUCAACCUGGGAACGGCAUCCGGAACUGUCAAGCUAGAGUGCAGGAGAGGAAGGUAGAAUUCCCGGUGUAGCGGUGAAAUGCGUAGAGAUCGGGAGGAAUACCAGUGGCGAAGGCGGCCUUCUGGACUGACACUGACACUGAGGUGCGAAAGCGUGGGUAGCAAACAGGAUUAGAUACCCGGGUAGUC